UGUGUACAAUGGUGUAGUUUUGAGGGUAUUCAACAGAUUACACUCGUGUCACAGGAUAUCGAUGUAUAUCCUAUAGGUGGUCAUUCAUGUUCAAUAAACGAAUGUAGGACAGAAAGUCACAGGACAAAAAGUCACAAUUUAGUUUAGUUAAACAUAUUUCAUUUGUUCAAGUACAAAUUGGAUAAGACACAAAAAUAAAUAAAGGAAUAUUUAGAGAACAAAAACACAAAAAAUAAAAUACAAAAUUAAUUCAACAAACGAAAAAAG
Molecule: long non-coding RNA, 267 nt
Filed under: Mytilus galloprovincialis (Mediterranean mussel)
Lineage: Eukaryota; Metazoa; Mollusca; Bivalvia; Mytilida; Mytilidae
Source: RNAcentral